GACGAACGCUGGCGGCGCGCUUAGCACAUGCAAGUCGAACGGAAAGGCCUGCUUUCCCUUGUGGAUUGCGGGUACUCGAGUGGCGAACGGGUGAGUAACACGUGAGUGAUCUGCCCCCAACUUGGGUAUAAGCCUGGGAAACUGGGUCUAAUUCCCGAUAGGACUGCAGGGUGGUGCCUGUGGUGGAAAACGAUUUUCUAGUGGUUGGGGAUGAGCUCGCGGCCUAUCAGCUUGUUGGUGGGGUAAUGGCCUACCAAGGCGGCGACGGGUAGCCGGCCUGGGAGGGUGGACGGCCACAGUGGGACUGAGAUACGGCCCAGACUCCUACGGGAGGCAGCAGUGGGGAAUAUUGCACAAUGGGCGGAAGCCUGAUGCAGCGACGCCGCGUGGGGGAUGACGGCCUUCGGGUUGUAAACUCCUUUCGACCGCGAGGAAGCCACCUGGUUGGAAGGGUGGUGACGGUAGUGGUAGAAGAAGCACCGGCUAACUACGUG
This 494-nucleotide ribosomal RNA is filed under the name uncultured bacterium. Its description in RNAcentral is "partial 16S ribosomal RNA". It matches the Rfam family "Bacterial small subunit ribosomal RNA", at positions 28 to 507 of the family's 1533-position model. The record is from RNAcentral.